GUCACUAGUGUUGCCCAUGUUGUUCUUACAUCGUGAAACGAGGCGAAAAGGGUGAAACAAAUUGCAGCUAAUUUAUACUUAUAUUCCUGUGAUUUCAAAUAAUACCAAAUUGAACUUCGUAACUUAUAUGCAUACUGUCAGUCAUUCCAACAAGUUGACUAGUAGCGCUCAGUCACUUUCCAUCAGAUUAGACCCUCAUGUUGUCAAAAGCCAAAAACUCAUGUUUGAAGUGGAAUACAAAUGUGCCGAGAUAAGGAUCUUUUCUGAAUCUCGCAGUUUUGGUGGCGUACCCUGUAACAACAUGUUUUUUGUUAUGGCUGUUUCUACUUCUGUUUAGAAGGCAACCCAACUGAAGGAUAGAGUUUUAGAGACAUGAAGAGUGUGAAGUGAACAACCUGCUGGGAUGUGUAUGCACAUGUACCAGAUCUGCUUGAUGAAAGUCAAAUACCUUACUAAAUUCAUCACCCAUAUGAUAAAGCAUCAGGGAAUUAAUCUCAUCAUGUGGAGUAAUGCUGUUGGUUGCUGUGAAUUCCAUUUUUACGGUGUUCUAUCAUGAACAUUUCAGUGUGUUUCUUAGAUAAGAGCACGCAGCUUCUUUAUGGAAUCGUGCUGUCCUGGCACGGAGAUUCUUGUGCAAAUGCUGACCUUUGUCCAUGACGGAAGAGGGACUUCCACCAACAUGAUCUUCGCGACGCACGCUCAUCUAGCUUCACUGCUUCUAAACACAAUUUGUUUUACUUCACUGGUGACUUGGCGAGUUUC
Daphnia pulicaria is the source of this 762-nucleotide long non-coding RNA. RefSeq lists it as uncharacterized. The record is from RefSeq and is a predicted model, not a curated record. The transcript has 6 exons. NCBI's taxonomy places the organism in Eukaryota, Metazoa, Arthropoda, Branchiopoda, Diplostraca, Daphniidae.